This 220-nucleotide long non-coding RNA is filed under the name Lathyrus oleraceus (garden pea). RNAcentral describes it as "Pisum sativum (pea) long non-coding RNA (PSAT_LNC001539)". Lineage: Eukaryota; Viridiplantae; Streptophyta; Magnoliopsida; Fabales; Fabaceae. The record is from RNAcentral.
UUUUAAAACCUCACAAAUUAAACUGACGCAAUUACAUACCUAUAUAUUUAUUUUUGAGGAUAUAAAUUCACCUCUUACUACACUAUUCUCACAUAACAACAAAAAAGAGAAGAAAAAAGUUAAAGGAAGAUCUUGUGGUAAGUUGUAUGCCUUCACUAAAAUUUAUAAACUUUUUGAAUAGUUUGAAUCUUCAUACAUAAUUUUUACUAACUACAACUCU